This 866-nucleotide ribosomal RNA is filed under the name uncultured bacterium. RNAcentral's name for it is "bacterial SSU rRNA". It matches the Rfam family "Bacterial small subunit ribosomal RNA", at positions 9 to 873 of the family's 1533-position model. The record is from RNAcentral.
GAGUUUGAUCAUGGCUCAGAUUGAACGCUGGCGGUAGGCUUAACACAUGCAAGUCGUGCGAGAAAGUAUCUUCGGAUAUGAGUAGAGCGGCGGACGGGUGAGUAACGCGUAGGAAUCUACCUAGUAGAAGGGGAUAGCCCGGGGAAACCCGGAUUAAUACCGUAUACCUCCUUCGGGAGAAAGAAGGCCUCUCUUUGAAGCUUUCGCUACUAGAUGAGCCUGCGUAAGAUUAGCUUGUUGGUGAGGUAAAGGCUCACCAAGGCUACGAUCUUUAGCUGGUCUGAGAGGACGAUCAGCCACAUUGGGACUGAGGCACGGCCCAGACUCCUACGGGAGGCAGCAGUGGGGAAUAUUGGACAAUGGGGGCAACCCUGAUCCAGCCAUUCCGCGUGUGUGAAGAAGGCCUUCGGGUUGUAAAGCACUUUAAGCAGGGAGAAAAAGUUAUAAGCUAAUACCUUAUGACCUUGAUGUUACCUGCAGAAUAAGCACCGGCUAAUUCCGUGCCAGCAGCCGCGGUAAUACGGAAGGUGCAAGCGUUAAUCGGAAUUACUGGGCGUAAAGCGCGCGUAGGUGGUUUGUUAAGUUGGAUGUGAAAGCCCUGGGCUCAACCUAGGAACUGCAUCCAAAACUAACUCACUAGAGUACGAUAGAGGGAGGUAGAAUUCAUAGUGUAGCGGUGGAAUGCGUAGAUAUUAUGAAGAAUACCAGUGGCGAAAGCGGCCUCCUGGAUCUGUACUGACACUGAGUGCGAAAGCGUGGGUAGCGAACAGGAUUAGAUACCCUGUAGUCCACGCCGUAAACGAUGACACUAGCUAUUGGAGGCAAUGCCUUUCAGUGGCGCAGCUAACGUUUUAAGUUGUCCGCCU